ACCAAAGUGGACUUACCCUGCAUAAGGGCUUGUUUUGUAUACUGGUAUUUAGACCCUGCAUGUGCAUGUGUAUGCAAACAUAAAUACAAAGACAGAGCACAAGCUUUCCCACUGACCACCCUAGAAAACCUAGCUAUGUCUAUGUGCCAUAACAUCUGAGGAACAGGGAACAUUUGUCAUUGCAUUAAAAUACAUAACGGUCUAAUUUUACUGUAAAAGUGAAUCUGUUGGUAUCUGAUCAAAUACAAGUAAGCAACUUCAAAUCCAGCUCAAAUACCUUUGAUUGUACCAAUUGUUUUUUCAGUUUUUGUUUUGCCUUUUAUUUAUUGUGAUCACUAUUGAGGUUGGGCUAACGACAGUGAAAAUGACCCUAAGAAAGGGAUUGAAUGUGGGGUGUAAUGUAAGUAUAGAGAAACCGUGUUGGGCUGCCGAGACAUAUUUGAGAGAGAUAGCAA
Molecule: long non-coding RNA, 455 nt
Filed under: Vigna radiata
Lineage: Eukaryota; Viridiplantae; Streptophyta; Magnoliopsida; Fabales; Fabaceae
Description: long non-coding RNA (VRAD_LNC016474)
Source: RNAcentral